UGGGGAAUAUUGCACAAUGGGCGAAAGCCUGAUGCAGCAACGCCGCGUGAGUGAUGAAGGUCUUCGGAUUGUAAAGCUCUGUCUUUUGGGACGAUAAUGACGGUACCAAAGGAGGAAGCCACGGCUAACUACGUGCCAGCAGCCGCGGUAAUACGUAGGUGGCGAGCGUUGUCCGGAUUUACUGGGCGUAAAGGGUGCGUAGGCGGAUGUUUAAGUGAGAUGUGAAAUACCCGGGCUUAACUUGGGUGCUGCAUUUCAAACUGGAUAUCUAGAGUGCAGGAGAGGAGAAUGGAAUUCCUAGUGUAGCGGUGAAAUGCGUAGAGAUUAGGAAGAACACCAGUGGCGAAGGCGAUUCUCUGGACUGUAACUGACGCUGAGGCACGAAAGCGUGGGUAGCAAACAGGAUUAGAUACCCUGGUAGUCCACGCCGUAAACGAUGAGUACUAGGUGUAGGAGGUAUCGACCCCUUCUGUGCCGCAGUAAACACAUUAAGUACUC
RNAcentral lists this ribosomal RNA (498 nucleotides) under uncultured bacterium. RNAcentral describes it as "partial 16S ribosomal RNA". It matches the Rfam family "Bacterial small subunit ribosomal RNA", at positions 355 to 869 of the family's 1533-position model. The record is from RNAcentral.